UGUGUGUGUUGUUUGUUGCAGGCGCUAAGGAGAUUGACAUCGCCGCGACCCUGGAGCACUUGAGGGACCAGAGACCGGGCAUGGUCCAGACAAAGGAGCAGUUCGAGUUUGCGCUGACGGCCGUGGCGGAGGAGGUGAACGCCAUCCUCAGGGCCCUCCCGCAGUGAGCGCGAGCGCGCAGCCCAAGGCUGGGAGGGGCCGGCGUCACGACUGUCGACGGUCGCUGGGAAUUGCGAUGCCACUUAGUUGCGUGUCUUCAGCGUCCCUGCCUCGUCAGUGCGGUCCAGCGGUUACAAUGUGCAUUUGUGUUCAACCAAGUCAUAGUAAGGGGAGAUUUGGGGGAUCGUCCAGUCACAAGGACAAUCACUUUAUCUGUUUUCACUUCCUUGAAAGGAAAACACUUUUCCUUAAAGCACACAUUCACAUCCUUAAUUGCAAACAGUGCCAUACAACGACGCUGUAGGUGGUGUGCUCCGCACCAUCUCCACGAAGAGAGCCGACCUGUGGGCCGUAACUCUGAAGGAUGGGCCAGCUCUGCAGGGAGGGGACCCGGGGAAGCGGGAAGGGCACCACAAGCAUUUGGCAUUUGUCUUUACGACGGCUCAUCACCGGCAGGAACCACCCCCCCGGCUUGUUCAGGAGUUAGAGCAACAAACUUACCAUUCUGCAGCUUUGGGGGAAAUAACAGCAUCGACCCUGCAUCUUCCCUCCGUUCCCGUGCGGGCUGGCCGACACCUGCCCCCGGCACUGUGGACAGCCCAUCUCCACCGCCCACCCCCCACAGAAGGGCAGGGGCCUCGGGGCACACGUGUCCCAGGCCAGCCGCCCCAGGCAAGGCCUCCCAUCCGCAACCCGUCUGGAGACGCAUUUUUAACUUUAAAUACAGAUUUACACAUUGCAAAAGCAGAUGCUGUUAAUAAACUCUUCCCUUAGGGGUAACCAGAGCCAGGGAACCAACCUGCAGGUAACAAGCUCCGGGGUCCCCAAGGAGCACACGAGCCCCCGGCGGGCUCCUGUGCUCCCCUCUUGGGGGAUGUCCUGGGCCCUGCCGGCAUCCAGGGCAGACCCUGGGUACCCCGUUCCCAGAAGGGGAUGCAGGGUGCCAUACAUUGUUGGCUUUACUGGGUGAGAUCCUGGCACCAGGGAGAAAGGCAGAAAUGGCAGCGUUUCCUGGGCCCCGCCCCCUCCCAGGGUCACCUCGGUCAGACACUGUGUGACUCGCUCAGACACAAGCGUCUAGAGGCGAUUCGGGUUUGCCACCCCCCCCAGCCCCCGACAGAGGAGCUCAUUUCGCCGGACUCAGAACGGUGGGUUCUAAGAAGGCAUGCAGACCGCUCUGUGCGCUACAGCUUUCAUCUUAGGAUUAGGUGUGAAUACAUCCCCUGUACCUUUCCACGUCCCGCUUACUGCACACAUUCUUCCCGCCUAAGUAGACACUGCAACCCAGAAACCAGUAGCAUCGGGAGAACGGCCUGUGACUGGGGAGGAAGAUGCCAAAUACUGUUUGUGUCUCUAAGUGGUCCUGUCAUGUCAUCUGCUCUAAUAGAUCUAUAAUUUUUUGCCAGAGUUGUUUCUCCCCAUCUGGAAUCUAAAUAAUGAAUAGGAACUAAUUUAUCUGAAUAUAGGAAGCGUAUACCUACUUGUAAUUUCUAACUUCUUAUGUUUCAAAAGAAAUCCUCCAGUGUGAGAUAUAUAAAUAUAUUUAAUUGUGUCAGAUUAAACUUUUGAUUUCACA
Non-coding RNA from Leptonychotes weddellii (Weddell seal), 1735 nucleotides. Lineage: Eukaryota; Metazoa; Chordata; Mammalia; Carnivora; Phocidae. The record is from RefSeq and is a predicted model, not a curated record.